This is a non-coding RNA of Pelobates cultripes (western spadefoot toad), 1083 nucleotides long. The record is from the annotation of a GenBank genome assembly. Lineage: Eukaryota; Metazoa; Chordata; Amphibia; Anura; Pelobatidae.
AGGAUGGAGGUGCAGUGACAGAGCUGUGUGUGGGGUCAGUACAGGAAUAGCAGAGAGAGCUGCAGGGCAGGAUGGAGGUGCAGUGACAGAGCUGUGUGUGGGGUCAGUACAGGAAUAGCAGAGAGAGCUGCAGGGCAGGAUGGAGGUGUAGUGACAGAGCUGUGUGUGGGGUCAGUACAGGAAUAGCAGAGAGAGCUGCAGGGCAGGAUGGAGGUGUAGUGACAGAGCUGUGUGUGGGGUCAGUACAGGAAUAGCAGAGAGAGCUGCAGGGCAGGAUGGAGGUGUAGUGACAGAGCUGUGUGUGGGUCAGUACAGGAAUAGCAGAGAGAGCUGCAGGGCAGGAUGGAGGUGUAGUGACAGAGCUGUGUGUGGGGUCAGUACAGGAAUAGCAGAGAGAGCUGCAGGGCAGGAUGGAGGUGUAGUGACAGAGCUGUGUGUGGGGUCAGUACAGGAAUAGCAGAGAGAGCUGCAGGGUAGGAUGGAGGUGUAGUGACAGAGCUGUGUGUGGGGUCAGUACAGGAAUAGCAGAGAGAGCUGCAGGGCAGGAUGGCGGUGUAGUGAGCAGAGCUGUGUGUGGGGUCAGUACAGGAAUAGCAGAGAGCUGCAGGGCAGGAUGGAGGUGUAGUGACAGCUGUGUGUGGGGUCAGUACAGGAAUAGCAGAGAGAGCUGCAGGGCAGGAUGGAGGUGCAGUGACAAAGCUGUGUGUGGGGUCAGUACAGGAAUAGCAGAGAGAGCUGCAGGGCAGGAUGGAGGUGCAGUGACAGAGCUGUGUGUGGGGUCAGUACAGGAAUAGCAGAGAGAGCUGCAGGGCAGGAUGGAGGUGUAGUGACAGAGCUGUGUGUGGGGUCAGUACAGGAAUAGCAGAGUGAGCUGCAGGGCAGGAUGGAGGUGCAGUGACAGAGCUGUGUGUGGGGUCAGUACAGGAAUAGCAGAGAGAGCUGCAGGGCAGGAUGGAGGUGCAGUGACAGAGCUGUGUGUGGGGUCAGUACAGGAAUAGCAGAGAGAGCUGCAGGGCAGGAUGGAGGUGCAGUGACAGAGCUGUGUGUGGGGUCAGUACAGGAACAGCAGAGAGAGCUGCAGGG